AAGUUGACGGGGCCCGCACAAGCGGUGGAGCAUGUGGUUUAAUUCGACGCAACGCGAAGAACCUUACCUAGGCCUGACAUCUGGGGAAUCCCUUGGAAACAAGGGAGUGCGGAGCAAUCCGAGCCCCAAGACAGGUGCUGCAUGGCUGUCGUCAGCUCGUGUCGUGAGAUGUUGGGUUAAGUCCCGCAACGAGCGCAACCCUUGUCUCUAGUUGCCAUCAUUUAGUUGGGCUACUCUAGAGAGACUGCCGGUGAUAAACCGGAGGAAGGUGGGGACGACGUCAAGUCCUCAUGGCCUUUAUGCCUAGGGCUACACACGUGCUACAAUGGAUCGUACAAAGGGUCGCGAACCCGCGAGGGGGAGCCAAUCCCAAAAACCGGUCCUCAGUUCGGAUUGGAGUCUGCAACUCGACUCCAUGAAGUUGGAAUCGCUAGUAAUCGUGGAUCAGCAUGCCACGGUGAAUACGUUCCCGGGCCUU
RNAcentral lists this ribosomal RNA (478 nucleotides) under uncultured Desulfobacca sp. RNAcentral describes it as "bacterial SSU rRNA". It matches the Rfam family "Bacterial small subunit ribosomal RNA", at positions 910 to 1382 of the family's 1533-position model. The record is from RNAcentral. Lineage: Bacteria; Pseudomonadati; Thermodesulfobacteriota; Desulfobaccia; Desulfobaccales; Desulfobaccaceae.